UUUUACUAGUCAAUCAAAAGACCAAAUUAAACUGGGCACAUUCUCCCACAAAUGCAUGCACCAUCAGUGGGAAGACUGGGCAUACUUGGGGAAUAUGGGUAGGGGGACAUACAUCUAGAGUGAAUGUGUGGCUAAAGCACAUAUAUGUAAAGGGGAAAUUUAUGUCUUCAAAACUGUAAGACCACUUUCUGUUGAUGUCAUGAUACUGCUUCCUCUGGACUAGCUCCCUCCUGGUCUUGGGAGAUGUACAGUCUCUCACAAGGCUUGCUUCUUACCAGUCUCAUGGUCCAUACGGGAACAUGCUCCACUGACCCCUUUGUAGGUGCCUGGUGUGGGUCUGCAGGGCAUAUAUCUGUGGAAAUUCUUUCCAACUUUUGACUUUAAUUGGAGCCUUCUGCUGAUGUGCUAUUUCUUUUCCAUGUGAGGAAGAGUGAACUCUACCAUGUUCCUCCUGGCUUAGAGCCCAGAGGCUUAAACUUAAGCUCUUUUAGGGAAGCAAGUACUUCAUACAACAAAUAUCAGAGUAGGGAAAAAAACUUUUAGCUGCUUUCUUUCACAUAAGAAAAAUAUGUCAUUAGAAUCUUGGUCAUUAUCAGCUUUCCCUCUCCAAAAGGAAUUUUCUUGUCCCCUGACUACAAGCUCUUUUGGAGCACAAAACAGCCAGCCAACUAUUAUAACAUUGACAUUGUGCGGUUUUUCAUUUUAGCCUAAACUUUUUGCUCACAAGGGGCAAGAAUUUCUAUUCCAAGCCUCUAUCUGACUUGGAGUUAGAAAGUCCAUACGAUGCUUGCUUAAUUCUCUUAUGGAGCUUGCCCCAAGCCAUUUCAGGGAGGCUGUGCCAAUGAAACCCCACACAAUAUGGAUCUUACCUAUUCUAGUUUUUACGGGUCCCCCAAAUCCCAUGCAAAUGACUUUGGGCAAGCACGAAAACUAAUCCUAACGAUCCAAAUCAUUGUCUCCCCAGGCUUCUUCCACACCCCUGCCUUUAUCACUGUAUACCUGACCAUCAACAACUUUAAGCUGCAUCUGUAUCUUCUACACAAUAGGCCACAGCUGAUUUCCAAAGCAAGAAAUUAGAAGAUGGUUUUGGACACAUGUGACCUUGGCAUUGAAGAACCAGAAAAGUGCAAUUCAACUCAACAAACAUUUAUUAAGUACCUGCUUAAUAUUCAAGGCUGAAGCAGAGAGUAGGCAGCUGAGCAAGCCUCGAAAAGGACAAUUAGAAAGGUAAGUUUCAUCAUUUCAUCACUUGAAACUUUCUACUAUUUGCUGGAAACGAUAUCUUAUUAUUGUCCCCUUUUGAAUCUCUAGCCAUCCUUAAAAGUCCAACCUAAAUGCUACUUCUUCCAUAAAGCCUUCCUUGACUUCCCCAGUCAGUAAGGACUUCCUUUGAAGUCCACUUGAACUCCAUAUAAACACUUUUUUGCAGCUUUGUUCUACAUUUACCAUGCAGUGCUAUGUUUGUGUCUUAUCUUCCUACCAGACUGAGCUCCAAUGAGAGCAGAGUGAUCACAUCUUAGCAAAACUUUUUCUCUCCCAACAACUAAUAGCACUCUUCACCUAGUAGGCACUUAAUAAAUAUUCAGUUUAAUGGAUAAUAACA
Phascolarctos cinereus (koala) is the source of this 1603-nucleotide long non-coding RNA. NCBI's taxonomy places the organism in Eukaryota, Metazoa, Chordata, Mammalia, Diprotodontia, Phascolarctidae. The record is from Ensembl.